GAACAUUUGAAAAGGGACUGGACAGAGGAAAUGCAACAAAGGGCGGAGGUCAGAUUUCAUUUGUCAUUCUGUCCGGCAUCGUAGGCCUCACAACAUGGAGAAGACCCAUGCUGCUGCUGGUCAAUGUGUUUGUCCUGCUGUCUGUGGUGUGUGUGCUCCUUAACCUGGCUGGAUUCAUCCUGUGCUGCCAGGGAGCCCAGCUGGUGUCCAGUAUGACCAGCUGCCAACU
This is a long non-coding RNA of Notothenia coriiceps (black rockcod), 229 nucleotides long. RefSeq lists it as uncharacterized. The record is from RefSeq and is a predicted model, not a curated record. Lineage: Eukaryota; Metazoa; Chordata; Actinopteri; Perciformes; Nototheniidae. The transcript has 3 exons.